Molecule: ribosomal RNA, 301 nt
Filed under: uncultured bacterium
Lineage: Bacteria
Description: partial 16S ribosomal RNA
Rfam family: Bacterial small subunit ribosomal RNA
Source: RNAcentral
CAGUCGCCGCGGUAACACGAAGGGGGCUAGCGUUGCUCGGAAUCACUGGGCGUAAAGGGUGCGUAGGCGGGUCUUUAAGUCAGGGGUGAAAUCCUGGAGCUCAACUCCAGAACUGCCUUUGAUACUGAAGAUCUUGAGUUCGGGAGAGGUGAGUGGAACUGCGAGUGUAGAGGUGAAAUUCGUAGAUAUUCGCAAGAACACCAGUGGCGAAGGCGGCUCACUGGCCCGAUACUGACGCUGAGGCACGAAAGCGUGGGGAGCAAACAGGAUUAGAUACCCCUGUAGUCCCUGUCUCUUAUAA